RNAcentral lists this ribosomal RNA (2901 nucleotides) under Escherichia coli. RNAcentral's name for it is "bacterial LSU rRNA". It matches the Rfam family "Bacterial large subunit ribosomal RNA". The record is from RNAcentral. Lineage: Bacteria; Pseudomonadati; Pseudomonadota; Gammaproteobacteria; Enterobacterales; Enterobacteriaceae.
UUAAGCGACUAAGCGUACACGGUGGAUGCCCUGGCAGUCAGAGGCGAUGAAGGACGUGCUAAUCUGCGAUAAGCGUCGGUAAGGUGAUAUGAACCGUUAUAACCGGCGAUUUCCGAAUGGGGAAACCCAGUGUGUUUCGACACACUAUCAUUAACUGAAUCCAUAGGUUAAUGAGGCGAACCGGGGGAACUGAAACAUCUAAGUACCCCGAGGAAAAGAAAUCAACCGAGAUUCCCCCAGUAGCGGCGAGCGAACGGGGAGCAGCCCAGAGCCUGAAUCAGUAUGUGUGUUAGUGGAAGCGUCUGGAAAGGCGCGCGAUACAGGGUGACAGCCCCGUACACAAAAAUGCACAUAUUGUGAGCUCGAUGAGUAGGGCGGGACACGUGGUAUCCUGUCUGAAUAUGGGGGGACCAUCCUCCAAGGCUAAAUACUCCUGACUGACCGAUAGUGAACCAGUACCGUGAGGGAAAGGCGAAAAGAACCCCGGCGAGGGGAGUGAAAAAGAACCUGAAACCGUGUACGUACAAGCAGUGGGAGCACGCUUCGGCGUGUGACUGCGUACCUUUUGUAUAAUGGGUCAGCGACUUAUAUUCUGUAGCAAGGUUAACCGAAUAGGGGAGCCGAAGGGAAACCGAGUCUUAACUGGGCAUUAAGUUGCAGGGUAUAGACCCGAAACCCGGUGAUCUAGCCAUGGGCAGGUUGAAGGUUGGGUAACACUAACUGGAGGACCGAACCGACUAAUGUUGAAAAAUUAGCGGAUGACUUGUGGCUGGGGGUGAAAGGCCAAUCAAACCGGGAGAUAGCUGGUUCUCCCCGAAAGCUAUUUAGGUAGCGCCUCGUGAACUCAUCUCCGGGGGUAGAGCACUGUUUCGGCAAGGGGGUCAUCCCGACUUACCAACCCGAUGCAAACUGCGAAUACCGGAGAAUGUUAUCACGGGAGACACACGGCGGGUGCUAACGUCCGUCGUGAAGAGGGAAACAACCCAGACCGCCAGCUAAGGUCCCAAAGUCAUGGUUAAGUGGGAAACGAUGUGGGAAGGCCCAGACAGCCAGGAUGUUGGCUUAGAAGCAGCCAUCAUUUAAAGAAAGCGUAAUAGCUCACUGGUCGAGUCGGCCUGCGCGGAAGAUGUAACGGGGCUAAACCAUGCACCGAAGCUGCGGCAGCGACACUAUGUGUUGUUGGGUAGGGGAGCGUUCUGUAAGCCUGUGAAGGUGUGCUGUGAGGCAUGCUGGAGGUAUCAGAAGUGCGAAUGCUGACAUAAGUAACGAUAAAGCGGGUGAAAAGCCCGCUCGCCGGAAGACCAAGGGUUCCUGUCCAACGUUAAUCGGGGCAGGGUGAGUCGACCCCUAAGGCGAGGCCGAAAGGCGUAGUCGAUGGGAAACAGGUUAAUAUUCCUGUACUUGGUGUUACUGCGAAGGGGGGACGGAGAAGGCUAUGUUGGCCGGGCGACGGUUGUCCCGGUUUAAGCGUGUAGGCUGGUUUUCCAGGCAAAUCCGGAAAAUCAAGGCUGAGGCGUGAUGACGAGGCACUACGGUGCUGAAGCAACAAAUGCCCUGCUUCCAGGAAAAGCCUCUAAGCAUCAGGUAACAUCAAAUCGUACCCCAAACCGACACAGGUGGUCAGGUAGAGAAUACCAAGGCGCUUGAGAGAACUCGGGUGAAGGAACUAGGCAAAAUGGUGCCGUAACUUCGGGAGAAGGCACGCUGAUAUGUAGGUGAAGCGACUUGCUCGUGGAGCUGAAAUCAGUCGAAGAUACCAGCUGGCUGCAACUGUUUAUUAAAAACACAGCACUGUGCAAACACGAAAGUGGACGUAUACGGUGUGACGCCUGCCCGGUGCCGGAAGGUUAAUUGAUGGGGUCAGCGCAAGCGAAGCUCUUGAUCGAAGCCCCGGUAAACGGCGGCCGUAACUAUAACGGUCCUAAGGUAGCGAAAUUCCUUGUCGGGUAAGUUCCGACCUGCACGAAUGGCGUAAUGAUGGCCAGGCUGUCUCCACCCGAGACUCAGUGAAAUUGAACUCGCUGUGAAGAUGCAGUGUACCCGCGGCAAGACGGAAAGACCCCGUGAACCUUUACUAUAGCUUGACACUGAACAUUGAGCCUUGAUGUGUAGGAUAGGUGGGAGGCUUAGAAGUGUGGACGCCAGUCUGCAUGGAGCCGACCUUGAAAUACCACCCUUUAAUGUUUGAUGUUCUAACGUUGACCCGUAAUCCGGGUUGCGGACAGUGUCUGGUGGGUAGUUUGACUGGGGCGGUCUCCUCCUAAAGAGUAACGGAGGAGCACGAAGGUUGGCUAAUCCUGGUCGGACAUCAGGAGGUUAGUGCAAUGGCAUAAGCCAGCUUGACUGCGAGCGUGACGGCGCGAGCAGGUGCGAAAGCAGGUCAUAGUGAUCCGGUGGUUCUGAAUGGAAGGGCCAUCGCUCAACGGAUAAAAGGUACUCCGGGGAUAACAGGCUGAUACCGCCCAAGAGUUCAUAUCGACGGCGGUGUUUGGCACCUCGAUGUCGGCUCAUCACAUCCUGGGGCUGAAGUAGGUCCCAAGGGUAUGGCUGUUCGCCAUUUAAAGUGGUACGCGAGCUGGGUUUAGAACGUCGUGAGACAGUUCGGUCCCUAUCUGCCGUGGGCGCUGGAGAACUGAGGGGGGCUGCUCCUAGUACGAGAGGACCGGAGUGGACGCAUCACUGGUGUUCGGGUUGUCAUGCCAAUGGCACUGCCCGGUAGCUAAAUGCGGAAGAGAUAAGUGCUGAAAGCAUCUAAGCACGAAACUUGCCCCGAGAUGAGUUCUCCCUGACUCCUUGAGAGUCCUGAAGGAACGUUGAAGACGACGACGUUGAUAGGCCGGGUGUGUAAGCGCAGCGAUGCGUUGAGCUAACCGGUACUAAUGAACCGUGAGGCUUAACCUU